This 492-nucleotide ribosomal RNA is filed under the name uncultured bacterium. RNAcentral's name for it is "partial 16S ribosomal RNA". It matches the Rfam family "Bacterial small subunit ribosomal RNA", at positions 29 to 507 of the family's 1533-position model. The record is from RNAcentral.
AGUGAACGCUGGCGGUAGGCCUAACACAUGCAAGUCGAACGGCAGCACAGUAAGAGCUUGCUCUUACGGGUGGCGAGUGGCGGACGGGUGAGGAAUACAUCGGAAUCUACUUUUUCGUGGGGGAUAACGUAGGGAAACUUACGCUAAUACCGCAUACGACCUACGGGUGAAAGCAGGGGAUCUUCGGACCUUGCGCGAUUGAAUGAGCCGAUGUCGGAUUAGCUAGUUGGCGGGGUAAAGGCACACCAAGGCGACGAUCCGUAGCUGGUCUGAGAGGAUGAUCAGCCACACUGGAACUGAGACACGGUCCAGACUCCUACGGGAGGCAGCAGUGGGGAAUAUUGGACAAUGGGCGCAAGCCUGAUCCAGCCAUGCCGCGUGGGUGAAGAAGGCCUUCGGGUUGUAAAGCCCUUUUGUUGGGAAAGAAAAGCAGCAGGUGAAUACCCCGCUGUUCUGACGGUACCCAAAGAAUAAGCACCGGCUAACUUCGUG